This 128-nucleotide transfer RNA is filed under the name Rhinocladiella mackenziei CBS 650.93. RNAcentral's name for it is "tRNA-Pro (TGG) (tRNA-Pro-TGG-1-1)". It matches the Rfam family "tRNA". From Rfam's summary of the family: Transfer RNA (tRNA) molecules are approximately 80 nucleotides in length. Their secondary structure includes four short double-helical elements and three loops (D, anti-codon, and T loops). Further hydrogen bonds mediate the characteristic L-shaped molecular structure. tRNAs have two regions of fundamental functional importance: the anti-codon, which is responsible for specific mRNA codon recognition, and the 3' end, to which the tRNAs corresponding amino acid is attached (by aminoacyl-tRNA synthetases). tRNAs cope with the degeneracy of the genetic code in two manners: having more than one tRNA (with a specific anti-codon) for a particular amino acid; and 'wobble' base-pairing, i.e. permitting non-standard base-pairing at the 3rd anti-codon position. The record is from RNAcentral. Lineage: Eukaryota; Fungi; Ascomycota; Eurotiomycetes; Chaetothyriales; Herpotrichiellaceae.
GGCUGAAUGGUUUAGUGGUAUAAUUCUUGCUUUGGGUGUAAGAGGUCCUGGGGUGAGCAACAUCUAAAAAUGCCUUCAUGGCCUGCAUUGAUUCUAACAAUCACCCAGUUCAAUUCCCAGUUCAGCCC